AYAAUUUUCAGCGACGGAUAUCUUGGCUCGAGCACCUAUUAAGGGCGCAGCGAAGUGCGAUAAUCGUUGUGAAUUGCAGAACUCCKUGAACCAAUGGCCUCUUGAACGUGCAUUGCGCUCUUGGGAUAUGCCUGAGAGCAUGUCUGCUUCAGUG
RNAcentral lists this ribosomal RNA (154 nucleotides) under Symbiodinium sp. 3B-J. RNAcentral describes it as "5.8S ribosomal RNA". It matches the Rfam family "5.8S ribosomal RNA". Rfam says of the family: 5.8S ribosomal RNA (5.8S rRNA) is a component of the large subunit of the eukaryotic ribosome. It is transcribed by RNA polymerase I as part of the 45S precursor that also contains 18S and 28S rRNA. The record is from RNAcentral. Lineage: Eukaryota; Dinophyceae; Suessiales; Symbiodiniaceae.